CCUACGGGUGGCAGCAGUGAGGAAUAUUGGUCAAUGGGCGCGAGCCUGAACCAGCCAAGUAGCGUGAAGGAUGACUGCCCUACGGGUUGUAAACUUCUUUUAUAAAGGAAUAAAGUGAGGCACGUGUGCCUUUUUGUAUGUACUUUAUGAAUAAGGAUCGGCUAACUCCGUGCCAGCAGCCGCGGUAAUACGGAGGAUCCGAGCGUUAUCCGGAUUUAUUGGGUUUAAAGGGAGCGUAGAUGGGUUUUUAAGUCAGUUGUGAAAGUUUGCGGCUCAACCGUAAAAUUACAACUGAUACUGGUAGCCUAGAGUACAGUUGAGUUAGGCGGAAUUCGUGGUGGAGCGGUG
RNAcentral lists this ribosomal RNA (348 nucleotides) under uncultured bacterium. RNAcentral's name for it is "partial 16S ribosomal RNA". It matches the Rfam family "Bacterial small subunit ribosomal RNA", at positions 338 to 683 of the family's 1533-position model. The record is from RNAcentral.